CAAGUAGAACGCUGAAGAGAGGAGCUUGCUCUUCUUGGAUGAGUUGCGAACGGGUGAGUAACGCGUAGGUAACCUGCCUUGUAGCGGGGGAUAACUAUUGGAAACGAUAGCUAAUACCGCAUAACAAUGGAUGACACAUGUCAUUUAUUUGAAAGGGGCAAUUGCUCCACUACAAGAUGGACCUGCGUUGUAUUAGCUAGUAGGUGAGGUAAUGGCUCACCUAGGCGGCGAUACAUAGCCGACCUGAGAGGGUGAUCGGCCACACUGGGACUGAGACACGGCCCAGACUCCUACGGGAGGCAGCAGUAGGGAAUCUUCGGCAAUGGGGGCAACCCUGACCGAGCAACGCCGCGUGAGUGAAGAAGGUUUUCGGAUCGUAAAGCUCUGUUGUAAGUCAAGAACGGGUGUGAGAGUGGAAAGUUCACACUGUGACGGUAGCUUACCAGAAAGGGACGGCUAACUACGUGCCAGCAGCCGCGGUAAUACGUAGGUCCCGAGCGUUGUCCGGAUUUAUUGGGCGUAAAGCGAGCGCAGGCGGUUUGAUAAGUCUGAAGUUAAAGGCUGUGGCUCAACCAUAGUUCGCUUUGGAAACUGUCAAACUUGAGUGCAGAAGGGGAGAGUGGAAUUCCAUGUGUAGCGGUGAAAUGCGUAGAUAUAUGGAGGAACACCGGUGGCGAAAGCGGCUCUCUGGUCUGUAACUGACGCUGAGGCUCGAAAGCGUGGGGAGCGAACA
Molecule: ribosomal RNA, 733 nt
Filed under: uncultured bacterium
Lineage: Bacteria
Description: bacterial SSU rRNA
Rfam family: Bacterial small subunit ribosomal RNA
Source: RNAcentral